RNAcentral lists this ribosomal RNA (253 nucleotides) under uncultured bacterium. RNAcentral describes it as "partial 16S ribosomal RNA". It matches the Rfam family "Bacterial small subunit ribosomal RNA", at positions 524 to 776 of the family's 1533-position model. The record is from RNAcentral.
UACGUAGGUGGCAAGCGUUGUCCGGAUUUACUGGGCGUAAAGGGCGUGCAGGCGGUCUGUUAAGUGCAGGGUGAAAGCUCCCGGCUCAACUGGGGAGGGUCACGCGAUACUGAUCGACUCGAAGGCAGGAGAGGGUAGUGGAAUUCCCGGUGUAGUGGUGAAAUGCGUAGAUAUCGGGAGGAACACCAGUGGCGAAGGCGACUACCUGGCCUGUUCUUGACGCUGAGGCGCGAAAGCUAGGGGAGCAAACGGG